Chelonia mydas (Green sea turtle) is the source of this 5987-nucleotide long non-coding RNA. RefSeq lists it as uncharacterized. Lineage: Eukaryota; Metazoa; Chordata; Testudines; Cheloniidae. The record is from RefSeq and is a predicted model, not a curated record. The transcript is spliced from 2 exons.
UGUAACAAUCAUUUCAAAGACGCUAAACAUUGCAUGCUCCCAAGGCAGUAAAACAAUGACAGUAAAAAGCAUCCAAACUGGGACUGCCAAAAAUGUCUUGGCAUAACACAUUUCCAAGAUGCCCUUAAAAAUUAAAAUCAGGAAAAACUGCUCUUUUUGGUGUAUGUGACGCAGCAUGAAUCAUCAGCCCUUCCUCUGUGUGUAAAAAAAUUUAGAUGAAAAUGCAGCAUGGAGGAAUAAAAAUAAAAAGCUCUGAAUACAGGAGAGAAAACAUGUGUCCCCCAUUCUGAGGAUUUUGAGAGAGGUAAAUAUUAUUUCAGGGUUGGGUUUUUUUUAAAUAUCUUAGGUAUAACUUCUCCAUUUUCUACUAUUUUUUUUCCUUUGAUCUCUUCUUCCAGUGUAUCAGUCUCUGUCAGCAACAAUAACUUCCUCCAGAGACACACGCGGUAAGAGUCGUCCAGUAACAUGAGCCCUUUCAAAAGGUACUGGAUUGAUCCCAUAUUUUGUUUGAGGGCUGUAGCUUGGUUGUUUUGGACAGUAAUUGACUGAAGAAUAUGUUAGUUUCUGUAUUGUUUUCAAAGAGAUCAAUUUUUCUGUUUUAUGAAUCCUAUAAUGACUGAUCUCAGGAAUUUUUUUUUUAUGUCUUUUUUUCUAUUAAGGGAGGCAAAUAGAGGUUUCUUUAAAUGAAAGGAUGUAUUUUAACAUAUGGGAUUACAGUGUGUCCAAAAUGUAUACUAACUUCUUAAGAUAGGAUCUACACUACAGUUAAGACAUUUGUCCCCUAACCUGGCUACAAUACAGAUUCGUUGUAUAGUAGAGACGCAAUGCAUCCAAAGCUUUAGCCUGAUUACAGAACAUCCCCAUUACAAAUUGUGAUGGUUAACAUAUUUCUUUAAUAUCCAGUUAAGUGUAUAUGGUAUGUGACAUAAUUCCUGUUCAGAGGAACUUUGGGAGAGAGGGAGAAGCAGGGGAGAGGAGGGAAGGAAGGAGGAAUAUGUAGAAUAAGGCUGAGGUUGUUUGCGUAGUACAGUUGCAGUACCCUAGUUCUUAAGUUUUGGUUUAUUUAGAAUAACUUUUACAAAUGUUUAAAGGGAUAUAAUUAGAGAAUCAGUUUAGAGAUUGUGGGGGAAAAAGGUGGAUAUUGAGGCGGGAGGUUGAAUGGCAUACAGGAGCGAGGUGCUUGUUCUUUCUACAUAUAGGUAGCAAUCUGACAGAAGACAUGGGGAUUCUUAAAUCUCAAAAUAGUGAUUUUGUGUUUUUGUGUUUGGGAAGUGCUUAAAAGUUAAAUUCUUUGUGCGUCCUUUGGCAACCUCUGCUAAAUACAGGACACUGCCUGUAUUUAGGCAUUGUACUUUGUCAUCUAACGAUUCCGUUAUAUUAGAAUCAUCUUCAUUUUGGCAGUCCUUCUCCAACAGCCCAAAAAGACUAGCUCCUAAAAUGUCAUAAUGGAGGAUUAACCCAAUACCCCAUGCACAGCUGGAUUGACACUGAGAGCAGAGCUGCUCAUUUGCACACUCCCCCAUGCACAAGUUGCCCAUGACCCCAGCAGGCAGAGUGGAACCCUACUGGAUCACUCUACCUCCACGGCCUUGUCAAACAUUUUGGACUUAAGCCUUCACUUCUGUAAAGUGCUGGAGCCCCUCUAUGCUGCUCUUUGAGAUACUUCUGACCAAAUGAAGGGGAAAUGCUCCUGGAUUCGAGAUAAUCCAGACUCCAAUGCUGGGAUGAUUGAUCACUACAAAACAGAGCUUUUUGAAUAGGUGUGGAUUUAAAGAGGAAAAUGUAAUAGAAAAGAAGCUUCCAGGGCUCCAACAAUAACUUGCAAAACCCCAAACUCCCUGAUUAAAAAUUUACAAUCAUACAGUCUUGUUACAUAACAUUUCCUCAUUUUUCUUGUAACAGUUGCAUACAUCCGCACUAGUUUAAUACAUACAAGUAUAAUUGAGUGCCACCAAAACAUUAAUUUGAUGUGCUCCCUAAAAAGUUAGAGAGGGGUAAGGGUUUGUUUUUAUAUUCCUGUGCUUAAAUGAGUUGGAGAAACUAUUUUUUAAUAUGAAGCCCUAUAAGAGGAGCAGAAGGGGCUCCUUCAGUGGCUGAAGCAGCAAUGCCCUUUGAUGACAACAUGAGGAUGUUCUGAAUCCCAACAGUGAAUGGUUAACAGUAGCAAGCCAUUGACUGGAUGACACAUUCUUAACUAAUCAUAAAUGGGGAAAUCAUCAUCCAGUGGGGCCCCCCCACAUUAAUCUGUUUUUGGUCCAAUCCUGUUUAAUCUCUCUAUCAACCCAACUUCGAAGAACACUUAUCAUUCCUGGUAAAACAAACAGUGGAGGAGUAAAUGACAGUUCAGUUCUACAGCAUAGUCUGUUGAACAACAUGCACUUUAAUACAAUUAAAUGUAAGGUUUAUGUAUAGCAGAAACCAAAAUGUAGGUCACACAAGGUAGAGGAGAGUAUUUUGGAAGGCAGUGACGCCACAGAGCUUUGUGUUAUGUGGAUAACGAGUUGAACAUGAGCUGACAGUAUGAUGCAACUGGUUAAGAGAGCAAAGGCAAUAAACUUAUUUGUAUAAGUAGGGGAAUACUGAGUAGGGAGAUGUUACCACCACUGCAUGCAUCAGUGCUGAGACAGUUACUGGAAGACUGUGUCCACUUCUCAUGUCUGCACUUUAAAGAAGUUUACUCCUAGAGAAGGGCUCACAAUCUAAUUAGCUUAACAAAGAAAAGGUUAAAGAGGUGACUUGAUCAUGAUCGAAGGCUAUAUCUACACUACCACCUAUAUCGGCAAAAUGUAUGUCACUCGGGGGUGAAUAUUUCACCCCCCGCGUGACAGAAGUUACACUAACAUAAGUGCUAAUGUGCACAGCGCUAUGUUGGUGGGAGAGCUUCUCUUACUGACAUAAUUUAUGCCACUCCCAGGGGUGGUUUUUUUAUGCUGAUCAGAGAGCUCUCUUUAAUUGUCAUAGAAUGUCUUCACCACACGUUGUACAGCUGCGCUGCUAUAGCACUAAGUGUAGACCUGGCCUAGGUAUCUACAUGGGUGGGAAAGAUUGACAGUAAGAGAUUUCUUUAAUCUAGCAGACAAUUGUCUAAGAUCCAGCAACUAGAUCUGAAACUAGAUAAGUUCAUACUAGAAAUCAGACUUCUUAUAGGAGAGUAAUUAAACAUUGGAACGUCUUAGAAGAAGAGGAUGGCUUCUCUAUCACAUGAUGUCUUUCUAAAAGAUAUGCUCUAGCUCAUCUAGAAGUUAUGGACUUAAUACAGGAAUCAUCUGGUGAUGGAUUUGUCAUGCAGGAGUCAGACAACAUUGUUAUGGUCUCUUCUGGCCUUAAUCUUUUUUUCCUGAAGAAUGAGAAGGCAGUAGUAAAAAGAUAGUGAUGUAUCAUACUGCCAUAUAAUAGCCCAAUCUGACCCUUUGACUAUAGUAGCCUGUAUUACUAUGAAGACAUUAUAUAGUGUGGGAAAGUUUACAUGGUGUUCUAGAAAUGCACUAAGAUAGCCCUUUCCAUGAAGAUGCUAUAUUCUGUCAUACAAGAAAUCUGUCCUGGGAGAGGAGAAUGGAUGGCUAUUUGGUGGAAGUAGGCUAGUGGCUCUCAACCUUUCCAGACUACUGUACCCCUUUCAAGAGUCUGAUUUAUCUUGUGUACUGCCAAGUUACACCUCACUUAAACUACUUGCUUAAACAAUCAGACAAAAAUACAAAAGUGUCAUAGCACGACACUUGCUUUUAGUGAAGAAGUACUUGCUUUUUCAUUUUUACCAUAUAAUUAUAAAAUAAAUGGAUUGGAACAAAUAUUUUACUUACAUUUCAGUGUAUGGUAUAUAGAGCAGUCGAAACAAGUCAUCGUCUGCAUGGAAUUUUAGUUUUUACUGCCUUCGCUAGUGCUUUUUAUGUAGCCUGUUGUAAAAUUAGGCAAAUAUCUAGACGAGUUGAUGAACCCCCUGGAAGACCUCUGUGUACCCACAGGGAUACAUGUAUUCCUGGUUGAGAACCGCUGAUGUAGGCCAUAGAAUUUCCCCAAAAUAAUUCCUAGACCAGAUCUUUUAGAAAAACAUCCAAUCUUGAUUUAAAAAGUCAGUGAUGGAGAAUCCACCAUAACCCUUGGUAAGUUGUUCCAAUGAUGAAUUAUUCUCCCUGUUAAAAACUUAUGCCUUAUUUCCAUGCAUAAUGCUAUGAAUCAUGCAGGUUAUUGGUAUUAAUAGAUUCCUGCUAUAAAUCCAGUUUGAUGAUCUCUAACUAAUCCCUCAGAAAGAAUGGGAUGCUUUCCAAACAGCACUAAUGUUACAAUCACAAUACUGCUUUUCAGUUCACAAGUAUGCAAAUAUCAAAGUCUGCUUUGGAUUGGAAGCCAUGAAUUGGAUUGCUGUGAAAAACCAAGUGACUAGGACAUUCAUAAUUUUUUCAUAGGGGGGGCAGGGGAAGUUAAAUUUUAUUUCAUAGAAUAUCAGGGUUGGAAGGGACUUCAGGAGGUCAUUUAGUCCAACCCCCUGCUCAAAGCAGGACCAAGCCCCAAUUUUUGCCCCAGCUCCCUAAAUGGACUCCUCAAGGAUUGUGCUCACAACCCUGGGUUUAGCAGGCCAAUGCUCAAACCAGUGUGCUAUCCCUCUGCCCCUGCAGACAGAGCAGGUUGGAAAGUACCAUUGCUUUCUGUUGCCACUUUGAAAACCAAAAUGUCUCUCUUAUUUGGGCUUCAGUUCUCCUCUGACUGAGGCCAGGGUUGCUGUGGAGGUGGCCUCUUGAACAUUUAAGGAAACUUUCCGAGGAGCCUUCACUCAGGCUCUAGCUUCACACAUGCAGAUCAGCAAGUUUAAUAAACUCAUUUGCAGACAUCUUUUUGAAAUGCCCAGCCAUAAUAUUACAGCAAGCGUCAAACUGAUUCCUGCUUUAAUUCACUAAAGCAUAGUUUGCGCUAUCUGCUCUACAAUAUGUAGGGGAGGCUGCUUCUCUAAGUUUUAGCCACUUAUUUCCCCCAUAUUUCAGCUCCAGCUGUAUGUAGCAAAGGUGGGACCAGCUGCUUUUAUUCAACUGAAUUGUUGUUCCUCAUUUGAAGACUGUUUACUUGGGAUUUUAAUUUAUAUUAUUUCCCUUACAUGUUCGUUAAGAUACUUAUUAGCCUUCAACUGCACAUGCUCAUCAGAGGUUCCUGAAUCCAUCCCAGAUGAAGAUGGCGCUGUUUCAAAUGGAUCUAUGUUGUGGCUGGCUGAAGAGGCUGAACAAGCCUCUGUUCUGGAGCCUGUCCACCUCACUCCCUGCUCAGCUAUGGAUGGAUGUGAAGUGGCGUGAGGCUCUCCCAGCUGGGAAAAAAAGAGCCUUAGCUUGAAGGUCCCACAAGAGGAGAAUCGGCAUUUAUGUUUACGCAGCUUUUCACGUCUAAUUGGUUUUCCUCUGGAACCCUAAACUGAUUAUCAGCAAGAUUUCCAGCAGCAAAAUAGCCAUUCCCACCUAACCAUUCCAUCCUUUCCCCUCCUUCAACAAGCCACUGAAAGAUGGGGAGACAGAAGGUUCCUUGCGAAUGUGUAUCACCAUUUAUUUUAGUUCAAGAGUCAGGAACUGAACAGAGGACACUGUCAGCGAAAAACAAAAGAAACAACUUUUUUUUUUUACAGGCUUAAUUUUAAAACACUGCGGUUUCAAAUCCUUUUUAAAAAGGAAAUUCAAGUAUCUUAAGCAGGGGGCAGUAAUACAAAAAUCUUUUUUUUUUGGUUGGUUUUUUAGUUUUUCUAAAAAAAUUCUACAUUUCCUGCACCCUUUUUGCUUUGGUAAGGCCAAGCCAUGGAUACAAACUGGUACGCAACAUAAAAAUGACCCCCACCCCAAAUUACAGGCUCCAAGAAUAAAAGGAUCCACUCUCCAGAGACAAAGUGUCACGGCUCAGAACUGUCACUUAGCAUACUAUGUCUCCGGCUUUAAAAGAAUUUAUUUCUUUAUUUUAAGUCACUGAAGUCCUGGCAUUCCCAAACACCUCCUUGGUAGCAGCUGUUUCAACAUGUU